AUAGAGAGAUUCCGGGUGAUGUCAUACUACUUUUAUGACCUAGUUUCUAUUUUACGCAUGUGAUUUCUGUUUAAUUCUAUUGACUGAAGUUAGUCACCAAGUCCAGCUCACAUGAGAUGGGACAGGUUUGCACAAAGAUGUAAUAAACAACUAUUAAAUACUGGAUGUCUUCUGCAUUUUCAUGGAAUUGAGAAAAGUGCAGAGGGGUAGUUCAUAGGUCCACCACUAGAGAGAGUGCUGGCCAAGAGUUUGUGUCUAUAGCCUGAAAGUUCCGUGCUUUAUGAAAAAGGCACAAGAGUGGAAUUUGUUCCCUUAUGUCUCCAAGAGAAUGAGAAACUUUUGUACACAGCAAUAAAAUCUUUCUCCCUACUUCUAUGUCAAA
Molecule: long non-coding RNA, 382 nt
Filed under: Homo sapiens (human)
Lineage: Eukaryota; Metazoa; Chordata; Mammalia; Primates; Hominidae
Description: HSALNT0318294
Source: RNAcentral